UUCCGGUUGAUCCUGCCGGACCUGACUGCUAUCGGAUUGAUACUAAGCCAUGCGAGUCAUUGUAGCAAUACAAGGCAGACGGCUCAGUAACGCGUAGUCAACCUAACCUAUGGACGGGAAUAACCUCGGGAAACUGAGAAUAAUGCCCGAUAGAACACUAUAUCUGGAAUGGUUUGUGUUCCAAAUGAUUUAUCGCCGUAGGAUGGGACUGCGGCCUAUCAGUUUGUUGGUGAGGUAAUGGCCCACCAAGACUAUUACAGGUACGGGCUCUGAGAGGAGUAGCCCGGAGAUGGGUACUGAGACACGGACCCAGGCCCUAUGGGGCGCAGCAGGCGAGAAAACUUUGCAAUGUGCGAAAGCACGACAAGGUUAAUCCGAGUGGUUUGUGCUAAACGAACCUUUUGUCGGUCCUAGAAACACCGAUGAAUAAGGGGUGGGCAAGUUCUGGAGUCAGCCGCCGCGGUAAAACCAGCACCUCAAGUGGUCAGGAUGAUUAUUGGGCCUAAAGCAUCCGUAGCCGGCGCUAUAAGUUUUCGGUUAAAUCUGUACGCUCAACGUACAGGCUGCCGGGAAUACUGUAGCGCUAGGGAGUGGGAGAGGUAGACGGUACUCGGUAGGAAGGGGUAAAAUCCUUUGAUCUAUUGAUGACCACCUGUGGCGAAGGCGGUCUACCAGAACACGUCCGACGGUGAGGGAUGAAAGCUGGGGGAGCAAACCGGAUUAGAUACCCGGGUAGUCCCAGCUGUAAACUAUGCAAACUCAGUGAUGCAUUGGCUUGUGGCCAAUGCAGUGCUGCAGGGAAGCCGUUAAGUUUGCCGCCUGGGAAGUACGUACGCAAGUAUGAAACUUAAAGGAAUUGGCGGGGGAGCACCACAAGGGGUGAAGCCUGCGGUUCAAUUGGAUUCAACGCCGGA
RNAcentral lists this ribosomal RNA (914 nucleotides) under uncultured Nitrososphaerota archaeon. Its description in RNAcentral is "bacterial SSU rRNA". It matches the Rfam family "Archaeal small subunit ribosomal RNA", at positions 1 to 922 of the family's 1478-position model. The record is from RNAcentral. Lineage: Archaea; Thermoproteati; Nitrososphaerota.